This 1375-nucleotide long non-coding RNA is filed under the name Homo sapiens (human). RNAcentral describes it as "PPP4R3B divergent transcript, transcript variant 3 (PPP4R3B-DT)". The record is from RNAcentral. Lineage: Eukaryota; Metazoa; Chordata; Mammalia; Primates; Hominidae.
GUCAUGUUGUUGGAUGGCACCAGUAUGUGACGUUCCUAGGAACUUAGCUCUGAGGAAAAAACAAAGCAAACCGGGGAAGUACGUAGCCUUGAACCGGAGUAACCAGGGACAGAAAGGAAGGAAAAGGGUUUCAUACCUUCACGGAACGACGCUCACUUCGUCCGCCUGAGGAGGAAAAAUAAGUUUAAACCUUUCUGUGAAAAAGAACGUGGAGCCCUUUCUGCCGAAUGGAAACCCGCUAAACCCCGUUAUGGAGUCUGCUACAAUUAAGCAUCUAACCAGGAAUUGUCUAUGGACACAACUCUCCAGGCAAUUCAUGCAGAAAGUGUGUUGACGAUUUCCUGUUUCUUGCAGAGCGCUUCACCGUUAAGGCUCUUAGUAGCUGGCGAUUGUAAAGCACAUUUUCCGCUUCAUGAAAAUACAGUGCUCUUCUUGUGUUUGUAACCUUGGAAAAUGGAGUCUCCCUGUGUCACCCAGGCUGGAGUGCAGUGGCAUGAUCUCGGCUCACUGCAACCUCUGCCUCCCAGGUUCAAGCGAUUCUCCUGCCUCAGCCUCCUGAGUAGCUGGGAUUACAGGCGUGCACCACUAUGGCCGGCUAACGUUUGUAUUUUUUUUUCAGUAGAGACGGGGUUUCACCAUGUUGGCCAGGCUGGUCUCGAACUCCUGACCUCAGGUGAUCCACCUGCCUCAGCCUCCCAAAGUGUUGGGAUUACAAGCAUGAGCCACCGCAUCCAACCUCAGGUAUUUCUUUAUAGCAAUGCAAGAAUGGACUAAUAUACUCCUGCAGACGUGGGAAAAAGUGCAGACUCCACACAGACGGUAAGCCUGGCCAGGAAUCAAUGUUUUGUUUCCUUCUCAACAACAUUUUAAUGCAAAUGAUGUUGAAAAAAAAGUUAUUCAAGGACCUGCUGUAUCGUAAUUUGCUAUCAAUUUCCAAACUCUAGAAUAUGAGCAUUGGAACUUUAGCUGUUUUGUCUGUUUUUGUUAUUUUGAGAUGGAGUCUUGCUCUGUUGCCCAGGCUGGAGUACAGUGGCACGAUCUCGGCUCACUGUAACCUCUGCCUCCCGGGUUCAAGUGAUUCUCCUGCCUCAGCCUCCCGAGUAGCUAGAACUACAGGCAUGUGCCACCACGCUUGGCUAAUUUUUGUAUUUCUAGUAGAGACGGGGUUUCUCCAUGUUGGCCAGGCUGUUCUCAAACUCCUGGCCUCAGGUGAUCCACCCGCCUCAGCCUCCCUAAGUGCUGGGAUUACAAGUGUGAGCCACCGUGCCCGGCCUAACUUAGGUCUUUUAUUUACUGACACAUCCCCUGCAUACCUUAUAAUGCCUGGCACAUGUUAAAUGAUGAAUAAAAGAAUGCUAUGCUUGGCUGAACUGAA